CCUGAGCCCGGCCGGUGGUUGUGCCGGGGUAAGCGUGUAGCCCGCAUCAUAGGCAAAUCCGUGAUGCGUACAGGGUGAGACGUGAUGCCGAGCCGAUUCAGGUGAAGUCAGUGAUCCUAUGCUGCCGAGAAAAGCCUCUAGCGAGAUUCAAGCGGCCCGUACCCCAAACCGACACAGGUGGUCAGGUAGAGAAUACCGAGGCGAUCGGGCGAACUAUGGUUAAGGAACUCGGCAAAUUACCCCCGUAACUUCGGGAUAAGGGGGGCCACAAACCGUCAACGCCCUUGCGGCGGGUAGCGGUGGGUGGCCGCAGAGACCAGGGGGAAGCGACUGUUUACUAAAAACACAGGUCCAUGCAAAGUCGUAAGACGACGUAUAUGGACUGACGCCUGCCCGGUGCUGGAACGUUAAGGGGACCGGUUAGCCGUGAGGCGAAGCUGAGAACUUAAGCGCCAGUAAACGGCGGUGGUAACUAUAACCAUCCUAAGGUAGCGAAAUUCCUUGUCGGGUAAGUUCCGACCUGCACGAAUGGCGUAACGACUUCCCUACUGUCUCAACCAUAGGCCCGGCGAAAUUGCAUUACGAGUAAAGAUGCUCGUUACGCGCGGCAGGACGGAAAGACCCCGGGACCUUCACUAUAGCUUGACAUUGGUAUCUGAAUGUAACUGUGUAGGAUAGGUGGGAGACUGUGAAGCUUGGACGCCAGUUCAGGUGGAGUCAAUCUUGAAAUACCACUCUGUUGGAUUUGGGUAUCUAACCUAGGACCGUGAUCCGGUUCAGGGACAGUGUCUGGUGGGUAGUUUAACUGGGGCGGUUGCCUCCCAAAAUGUAACGGAGGCGCCCAAAGGUUCCCUCAGCCUGGUUGGCAAUCAGGUGUUGAGUGCAAGUGCACAAGGGAGCUUGACUGUGAGACUGACAGGUCGAGCAGGGACGAAAGUCGGGACUAGUGAUCCGGCACUGGCAAGUGGAAGCGGUGUCGCUCAACGGAUAAAAGGUACCCCGGGGAUAACAGGCUGAUCUUCCCCAAGAGUCCAUAUCGACGGGAUGGUUUGGCACCUCGAUGUCGGCUCGUCGCAUCCUGGGGCUGGAGUAGGUCCCAAGGGUUGGGCUGUUCGCCCAUUAAAGCGGUACGCGAGCUGGGUUUAGAACGUCGUGAGACAGUUCGGUCCCUAUCCGCCGUGCGCGUAGGAUACUUGAGAAGGGCUGUCCCUAGUACGAGAGGACCGGGACGGACGAACCUCUGGUGUGCCAGUUGUUCCGCCAGGAGCACGGCUGGUUAGCUACGUUCGGAAGGGAUAACCACUGAAAGCAUCUAAGCGGGAAGCCUGCUUCAAGAUGAGGUAUCCCACCCCUAGAGGGUUAAGGCCCCCAGCUAGACGACUGGGUUGAUAGGCCAGAAAUGUAAGCCCGGUAACGGGUUCAGUUGACUGGUACUAAUAGGCCGAGGACUUGACC
This 1455-nucleotide ribosomal RNA is filed under the name metagenome. RNAcentral describes it as "bacterial LSU rRNA". It matches the Rfam family "Bacterial large subunit ribosomal RNA", at positions 1485 to 2925 of the family's 2925-position model. The record is from RNAcentral.